RNAcentral lists this ribosomal RNA (303 nucleotides) under uncultured bacterium. Its description in RNAcentral is "partial 16S ribosomal RNA". It matches the Rfam family "Bacterial small subunit ribosomal RNA", at positions 507 to 809 of the family's 1533-position model. The record is from RNAcentral.
AGCAGCCGCCGCGGUAAUACGUAGGUGGCGAGCGUUGUCCGGAAUUAUUGGGCGUAAAGGGAGCGCAGGCGGACAUAUAAGUCCAUCUUAAAAGUGCGGGGCUCAACCCCGUGAGGGGAUGGAAACUGUAUGCCUUGAGUGCAGGAGAGGAAAGCGGAAUUCCCAGUGUAGCGGUGAAAUGCGUAGAUAUUGGGAGGAACACCAGUGGCGAAGGCGGCUUUCUGGACUGUAACUGACGCUGAGGCUCGAAAGCCAGGGGAGCGAACGGGAUUAGAUACCCCUGUAGUCCCUGUCUCUUAUACA